GCUGUUAAGGUGGUUGUUGCCGAAACAUUUUCUUUUUAACACUUGACCCAAAGGUUAACGUAUACAUAGUUUAAUCAAUGCAUUGCUUUAUGAACAGGCUCCAUCUACGGCACUUAGGCCUGCAGUGGCCCGGCUAACAUUCCAGGGUGCAAGCACUGAGGAAAGGUCAGCACUGUCUAAGAGACUAAUCUGAAGCCUUGCAAGAGGAUACAAGAGGAUUUCAUUUCUGGUACAAACUCACCAGAGAGGGAAUCAGGCAAGAAAGCCAAAACCUGUGCUCCUGUUUUUUCUUGACUUUUCUGCUCCACUAACACGUCUGUGAAAAAGCAAUUCAUAAAAUGCAAUACUGGCUACUCACUGGAAAGUCCCCAGUUGCUGGUGAACCACACUUUGUGUAUAUAAUGCCACCUAAUGGACAUUCAGGCUUACAGCCAUGAAAUGUUGUAAUAGAGGGAGAGAUUGCAUAUACUAUAUAGUACUUGCUCAGCAACUCCAAGUAACGUUAUGUACAGAGAAGGAAAAAAGUAUUUGAUCCCCUGCUAAAUUUGCCCAUUUGCCCUCUGAUGAAGAAAUGACCAGUCCAUAAUUUUAAUGGCAGGUUUAUUGUAGCUGUGAGAGACAGAAUAACAACAGGAAAACUCCCAGAAACCCAGAAGACAAAAGUCUGCCUGCCAACAAGAAUUGUGUGGGUUACUAAACUGCAGAAUGCCUACAUACUACCUGAGUUAGUCACAGUGGUGGGUAUUUUUUGAUAUUUUAAUGCUACUGACGCUCUUUAAAAUUAUGUAUUUUUGGAUUAUUUCUAUAUACUUGCUUAAUUUAUAUUUUUGUGUGUAAUGCCUUGUGAAAAGGUUUGUUUUAAGGGGGGGGGGUUAGAAAUUUAAUCAGUUAAAACAAAACCUCUGUAAAGAAGUGAUGGUUCAAAGUUUUGACUUGCCUAGGGUCAGCUGCUGAAUGACAUCGCUCAGCAGGUAUAUGAGUCUGGGUCUCCUACAUCCAAACCAAUCACAGUACAUGCUGCACCACAGCUAAUGUUUCCAGAUUCCCAAAGGAAAGCAAUAGGGGUUGAAGGUAAGAAAAAUCAAAGGAAGGAGAACAUUUUGACUUUUCUGCUUCUGGGUUGAAAAUCAUUAAUGCCAUAAUCUUAAAGCUACUUACCAAGGUGUGAGUCCAAUUUAACUUAGUGAGACAUAUUUCUGAAUAGACAUGUCACCAGGUUGCACUAUUCAUCUGGCAGUACAAAUUAUGACCUACAAAUUAUGGCUGGCAGUGACUAUUUAUUUGGAUAAACUUUUCUUCAUGGGGUCAUUUUCUGGGGACCACAUUAUUCUAAAUCCAAACACAGUGGCUUGAUUAACACUGUGAUUAACAUCAGUCCUAGGUUCCUAAAAACUUCCAUGUCCUUUCUCUUUUUCCUUAAGUCUUUAUUGAAAGUUUUCCUAAGAUAUACAUCCAGUAAAUACUGUAUCAUGUUGGUGCUUGUUUUCUUCCCAUCUCAGUUCCAUCAGCUUGCUACAGUUGUGAAAGAGAAUAGGAAUAGAGCCAGGUAUUUGAAUUACAUGAUUCCGGAAAAAGUAAUCAACAGAAAUGAAAAAGGAUACUCUCCGCUACCAUGUUUAUAGAUUCGUUUCAUAUCUACCGAAGAAAAUUCCAAGGUCAGGUUUCUUUCUGGGCUCUUUAUCAAAGGGACUGUGAGCAUAUCCAUUUGGCACAUAUCAAUAUCAGCAUGUCCCAAAGAGAGUAUUUGUACUUGCUCAUGUGCCAUGCUAACUUAAUAGCAACAGGAGGACAGAAGGGUAGCUUUUACUGAACAGGCUCAGGAUAUAUCUUCAGUAUAUUGAGAAUCUAAAGCUACAUCUCUAUUCCUUAGCUACCCAGGUAGAUACCUCGUUUACUUUUCCAAAAAAGCAUCCUAAAGAUGUCCAUAAUGCAACUCCCCAUGAUCCCACUGGCAUGGUAUAGGUCAGAUAAGAUGUCUUCCUCUGGGGCAUCCGCCUACACCAGCUAUGAAUAACUGUGCAUUCCCCAGCAGUCUCUGUGAGCUUGGUAGACCUAUAGAAGAAGUGUGGGUUUUCACACCUUGCACUUCUCAACUGAAAGAAGCAGAAGUACUGACAUAUCACUGUCUCAGAGCCAUCUCCUAAUUGCAGCAGUAAAGAAUAAAUCUAAGCAAAGAUCACAAAACCUUAAACACCCAUAAAUUGGACUUGCACAAGAACACAACCCGGGAACAUUCUUUUGACUUCAACCCUUCACUGUCCUCACCAAUACACAUUGCCAGGCCAAGUUAGUGAAACUUAAGUUUGCUAUUAGCAAACUCAGUUUGAAUGCAGAGACAGUACUGCACCAUAUUUCUAUAACUCUCAUUUCAGCCUGCACAGUUUUAAAGGGUAUUUCCAUGGCAGUUAUUCAAACAGCCGAGAAUCAAGCAAAUGUAGGAAACAAUGUUAUAAUUGGAAUAGCAGCAUGUGGUAUUGUAAACUAGAGAAUCCGGAACAGUAAAGCUGCUUAAUUGAGUUUCCAUCAGGUCCAGUUGUUCAGAUUAAUCCAGGAAGCAUCUGUCUGGCUGAACGUGUGCUCCGAGUUGCUGAAUAUGGGUAAGAUCUUAAAUCAUUUUAUACACAGCAUCCCGCUGCUUCCUCUCAAUUGUCCUUUUAUAUAACAAGCUGUGCUCUGGCAUCAGCAAAUCCCUUGACAAUCACCAUAUUAGUACACAAGUAUACAAAAGCACAGGGCCGAGAGACCACAUUUGGGCUAAAUAUUGCCUGCUCUGGCUAGGAUACAAAAAUCCUCUGCAAUAUGAACCAAGUAGUUUGCCACACACAAACACACACACACCAUGAACAAAAUGUUUGCCAUUUCCAACCGCGUACUUUCCAUUACAUCCCACCAUUAAAGCAAUUUCAGAGUUCUUAAAAAUAGUCACAAUAUAAUACUUUUCCUGUGGCAAAGCAUUGCACAUCUGGCUCGUGAUUUCCUUUAAAAUAAUACAACGAUUAUGUCUCAGUGUUGACUGCAUAGCCAGGCAUUCUAACAUAAAGUGGACCCAUGGGUAGACAUUGAAUUCAAUGCCCAGUAUUAAUAUGUUGAGUUUUCUAUAUGGGAUGGGAAGCCACCAAGGAAGAGCUGAACUUUAUGCAAUUGACCACAAAAUGGUCAGAGAUAGCACUGACAGUAGCCAGAGCCACACUUCCUUUCAAAGGUAUUCUAGCUGAGUAUUCACAGCACCCUACGGGAAACUACUGAAAAACCUUUAGACCUCUAGCAGCAGCUCAAAAUAACAGUAAGGAAAGCAACAAUAAAGAAUAACUACAGACUUGUUUGCAUAGUGUGCAAACAAGUAAUAGAUUUUGAAAUUCCAAGUAGAUUAAAAAGAUGUGGAAAUCAAAGCAAAAACCCCAAACCCAGGGUCAUUUACCAUAACUGGGAAGUUCUUCUUUUAAUUAAAAUUGCAAUGGCUCAGUGGUUCUUUGCUCACUGAAGUUUGUGAGGUUUGUUUGCUUUUUCACAGUGCAAGACAGUUAUCCCUCUCUCCUUCAAGAAAUACAAAUAAUUCUUUAGCUUGCUAAAAUUAUCCUUCUUGUUGCAGAGAAAUACAGGAAACUCCUGCCAGACAAGAAUACAGCACAGGAAGGUUGAAGACUUGGACUCUCUUCUUUCCCACAUGAACAGAUAGCUCCAACUCUGCCCACUUCGAGUGAAAUGACAAUAGAAGGAAGUGACCAGGGAAAGGUGCUACCUCAGACAUUAACUGCUAUAAUAAGCCAUACCAUACUGACAUGAGACAAGUCUGCACCUGCUGUGAAAAGAAAAAUGGUGGUUCAAGGCAGGACAAUGGCUUUUUUCUGGAGUCUGCAUUUUAAGGUGAUUUAUUCACAUUGCUUCGUAUUUAAGAUUGGACCUCCUCCCUGCUUUGCCGGCCUUUUCCCACCUGGCAUGGGAGGGUGGGGCCCUGACUAACUCCAGGUACAAAAGCUGAAGCUGCUGAACAGGCUGGGGUAUAGUUUUGGGGUUGUUGUUGGGGGGUUGUUGUUGCUGUUGUUGAUUUUUUUGUUAUCUUUAUUUUAUAUCUUAUUAUACUACACAGAACUAGAUCAAUUUGGUUGUGUAUUUUUUGUUUAGUUAUUAUUUAUGACUACUUUUGUUAUGUUGUAUUAUGUAUUUUUUCAGGUUGUAAGCCACCUUGAGCAUGGUUUGAACUAUGGAAAGGCAGCAUACAAAUAAAAAGAUGUAUGUAUG
Podarcis raffonei (Aeolian wall lizard) is the source of this 4239-nucleotide long non-coding RNA. RefSeq lists it as uncharacterized. The record is from RefSeq and is a predicted model, not a curated record. Lineage: Eukaryota; Metazoa; Chordata; Lepidosauria; Squamata; Lacertidae. The transcript is spliced from 3 exons.